Neolamprologus brichardi is the source of this 2187-nucleotide non-coding RNA. NCBI's taxonomy places the organism in Eukaryota, Metazoa, Chordata, Actinopteri, Cichliformes, Cichlidae. The record is from RefSeq and is a predicted model, not a curated record.
GCCACACACACUGUCACACAGCAGCUGUGUUACUGCAACACUCUGCCUGCUACAAUUAUUCUCAGUUUCCUAAAUAAUUUGUGAGAAUACGGCCAGAAAGCCUGGACUGUGUUUCAGCUUUGUUUGACACAAACGUCGACCAAGAGUGCGUUCUAAUCCCAGUCCUUAUAAACACGCUUAAAUUUUAAAGACUCGUGGCAGCUCUAGUUCCUGCAGCUGAAGUCAACCAUGAGGUCGUCCAAGUGAGACCCACUCCCUGUGGGAGUCCAAGGGAGGGAGAAGAUGAGGCAGUUGGUGGAGAGCAGGCAGGCGGAGAUGAGCCGAAUACUCACAGAGCUGCACCACAGUGGAGGGCGAACUGUGAAUAAAAGCUGCUUGUGCAUGACAGCUGAAGGCAAGAAGUCAUUUAUCGUGUUGGUGCUGAAGCUGGCCAGCCAAAAUGAUACUGAUCAAUCAUCCAAUCAUCCGUGUUAAAGAGGACGACCUCGGUUUUUCCUUCCACUGACGCACUGUCAGGGUUUGUGACCAGCAGGCGUAUAAAAACACUUCAGCGUGCUCUGGUUCACAAACCAAUGUCCUUUUUCUCUGCCGCCACACUGAGCUGAUCUCAUCACUCAUUUCUAUACACAGCUGCCCCUCUGCAGGCUUCCAGAAGUUAGCCAAUCAGAAGUGCUUUUAGGGAGGGAGGCCUUAAAGAAACAGCAGGUGACAGAGGCGCAGCCCAGUGUAAGCUAAAGAAGGAUUAUUAUGAACUGUGAACCUUGCAGAUCAUACAGAGCUGGAAACAAGUAGAAAAGGUCCACUUUUUCAUACUUAAUCAGAGCUCAGUAAACACUUUGCCCCAGAGGAUUUCUGGGUAAUGAAGUCCUUCAGUUGUGUCAUUAGAUGCCUCGACACUGACGUGAGCAGCUCUGUGAGUAAGAGGCUGAGGAUGCCGAUGCGUUCAGCUGGGAAACGCUGAAUCUGACAGCUCGGCUCUUUUCUUCUGUUUGAGCACUUUUCUUUCUUUUCUUUCUAUUUGCGACUUUGACAGCAGGCUUCAACAAAAGACAUCAGGGGGCUCGAGUCGACUCGGCCUUACGCUGUGAGCCUCAGAGCGUCGUCACUCUGAACAGCAGCCGGAGUGAUUUUUUUUUAUCUGCUGACGUCUGUCAUACCGAGGGACAAAACCUGCUGCGAGCUCCGACCACGAGCUGAGAGGAUUUUACCUCGGUGUCAACCAAUCAAAGCAACAUUUAGUCCCACAGAUGAGAGAAGAUCCAACCAUAAGUUCAACAGUAAUCAGAUUUUUUACAAUUUAAGAUUUGAGCCUUUUUUCAUGAGCUGCAGAUAUAAUCGUACUUUUCUCACUACGUCACAAUAAAACAUUUUAUCCUGUAAAUGAUUCAUAUUUUUGCCUGAAUGCAGGAUUUUUGACCAGAUACAUCUCCACGUAUUGUAAGCUCAGCCAAAAUGAGAUUAUAUAAAUAUUUCUACAAAUGUGUUGUUUCCAUCUGCAAAAGUUAAAGAUCUCUACACUUAUCAUAAAGUAUUCUGAUUAAUAACAUAAUGAAAGAGUCUACAUCAGAGACGCCUUAAAGAUGGAAAUAUCUUUCCAUGCCGAGGCUUCAUGUUUGGUUGUGCAGCACAGUCCUGACAGCAGCCAGCAGAUAAACGCGUGUGAGCACGCGGCGCCGUCUCCGGCUGAUCUUUGUGCCUCUGCGUCAAAGUCGUUACUUUUGUUGCACAUUCCAGCUGUUUGCUUGUUGGUGAAUCCACUUCUUUAAGCUUUACGGCCUCGUUAAGUUUCAGUCUGAAACCAAAGACGUGUUUUGAAAAGUCACCGGUGUGUUUGUGUGUGAUUUUGUCUCGAUGAUGUUUUGACCUGUUUGUGUGUUUGGUGGUUUGUUUCCAGAAUGUUUUAUUUUUAGAUUAUUUAAUGCACAGAUUUGUUAUUAUUAUCUUUCGAGCAUCUGUCUUCUUAAAGGUGUCGCCUGCACUUAAUGUUGUUCACGGUUAUUAAACCCUCCUCACCUCAGACCAGCAGUGACUUCACUCUUAGGCUGAUUGUUUUUGUAUUAGAUGUAUGUAGAUUAUAUUUCUCUAAUUUUUAUAAAUAUAUAUCAGUUUGAUGAACUGCAGAUGACAUGUAUGAGAACACUACGACUGUAGUUACUCACAGAUACCAAAUAAAUCUUUAUCACAAAA